This 1204-nucleotide long non-coding RNA is filed under the name Equus caballus (horse). RNAcentral describes it as "lncRNA (ENSECAG00000059585.1)". The record is from RNAcentral. Lineage: Eukaryota; Metazoa; Chordata; Mammalia; Perissodactyla; Equidae.
CACAUUCCUCACAAACCUUUAAAACCCCUCACCUCCCCUCUUUCGGGGAGAUGAGAUGAAAUGAGACAAAUUUGAGGGCUCACUCUCAUCUUCUGCUGAUAUUACCCCAAACAAAAACCCUUUCCUUGCUGUAAGCCUGGCAUUCCGGUUGUUAUUUGGCCCCUCUUGUGUGGUGCGUAAAGAACCUAUGUUUGUAGGCGGUAACAAUCUGGCGAACCAGCCAGGAGAUUCUUGCCCGUGGCUCUGUGGCCCCAGGCUGACUGGGAUUUCCUGGGAAGCAGUCCAGCAGCUGCCUGGGUGAUUUGCCUUAGGGACUGUCCCAGUACUUUCCGUCUGGCCGGGCAUGGCUGACCCUAGGCACAUUUUCUUAUGGCAAGGAAACAGGUUCUAGAUUUGUUUGUCUAUUCUUCAUGCUGGGGAGUCAACGGACUCUGAAAUAGAGAGACAAUUGGAAACACUGGUUAUAUCACCGAGGCUUUGACUGGAAUGUCAUAUUUGAGAGAAACAUACAGACUUGGAUAUGACAAGACAGAUUUUGAGGAAUAAAGAUUGUCUUUCUGGAAUAAAAAGUCUCUUGGAAAUAUUGGCCUGGUACCUUGCUUAUGGGUUCCCAGUGACCUGGAAAGGUUGACUAAAGAAUGUAACUCCCUCCAGCAGGUACAAGGAACCUCAAUAUUUUAGGGACCUCGUGAAGAGAAGAAUUCACCCAAAUCUGUAGGUAUUGCAGACUGAAUCUAAUGACAAGCUCUUGGUCUGGCUUUGCUGGCCUCAAGAGGCCUUUAAAGUUCAAUCUGAGAUUCCUUGUAAAAAGUUCCCGCAAAGCAGAUUUAAAAGAAUGUAUAUGAUCAAUUGCUAUUCUUAUUGUACUUAUGUAAAUAAUUGGGACAAAUUUACUAAAACUAAAUUUAUUUUACAACCAGUUAGUCUUAAUUUGGCUAUGUUUGGUAAAAUUGAGGCUGCUUUUAGAGAGAAAAAUUAUGUUUCAAUAAAGACUAUAAUACACAUUCAUGGAUAUUAGAUUCUAGUUCCAUUACUUGUCUUUGUGGUUUUUGUUUUAUAUCUGUGAACUGUACUGGAUCCUGAAUUCUUCUAGUCUUCUGAAAUAACAAAUCUCCAAACUAACAUUUUCCAUUCUUUUCCCAUGAUUUUCAUUUGGAAUCCUUGAGAACUGAACCUACCCUUUUUCCUAAAAACUGAAGCUGGA